GAUGAAGAACGUAGCGAAAUGCAAUAAGUAGUGUGAAUUGCAGAAUUCAGUGAAUCAUCGAAUCUUUGAACGCACAUUGCGCCCCUUGGUAUUCCAUGGGGCAUGCCUGUUCGAGCGUCAUUUGUACCUUCAAGCUUUGCUUGGUGUUGGGUGUUUGUCCCGAGGGACUCGCCUUAAAGUAAUUGGCAGCCAGUGUUUGGUUUUGAAGCGCAGCACAAGUCGCGAUUCAAGGCUACACGCCCGCUUCCACAAGCCUUUUUUCACUUUUGACCUCGGAUCAGGUAGGGAUACCCGCUGAACUUAAGCAUAUCAAUAAGCGGAGGA
RNAcentral lists this unclassified non-coding RNA (324 nucleotides) under soil metagenome. RNAcentral's name for it is "partial contains 5.8S ribosomal RNA, internal transcribed spacer 2, and large subunit ribosomal RNA". The stretch from base 1 to 120 matches the Rfam family "5.8S ribosomal RNA", at positions 35 to 154 of the family's 154-position model. The record is from RNAcentral.